GGCUUUUUUGGAGUUUUUUUUUUUUUACCUAAAUUCAUUGUCUUUAUAUACUUCACAUAUCUCCUUGCAAUUAUUAGUAGUUUUAAUUUAUAACUAGAAGUAAAAAUUUUUUAUUUUUAUUUUUCUCAUAUACUUAGUCCCGUUUGGUUGACUACUUUUUGAUCUUUUAAAGGUAUGAAUUUGUGUAUAUAUGUGCCUAUGUGUGCAUGCUUACUGUGCGCCUGUGAAUAUAAAUGUUUGUGUUUCGAAUUAGCAACAUAGUUUUUUUCUGUUUAUGCUUUUUUAUGACUCCUUUUUUUCUGCGUGUGUGUCGUCACCAUAGCUAUAGCUGCUGCUUUACCACCACCGUAAGCCUGUUAGUAAGAGUUACACCACCUCGUUGCCAUUCCAGUCCAAACAUCUCGUUCAAUAUUACCGUCGCUUUUCUCUCGGUGUGCGUUUUGCAUGUUUCCUUCUGCCUUGAAGUGUUAAAAGAAGGCUCACAAAUCGUGUAUUUUAUCUGUGAGUCAUUUAGUAAAUUGCUAUGAGGACUUGUGGAUUAUUAUGUGCUAAAGCAAAAGGAUUAUAAUUGCAAAAGCAUAAUCAAUUAUAUGUGAAAUCAACUGAACUCAGUAAGAAGAGAAACUAUGGCCGAAAAGUUUGCAAGGAUACACUAAAUAGAGAAGACAAGAGAGAUACACAGCAACACCACUUGUAGUCUUAUGAACGACCAGAUGUUUUUUUACUUAUUCCGCUGUUAUCAAUUUCGAAUUUGAAACUAUGCCAAAGGAAUCGAUUCAUAAGCUAUGUUAACAUCUUUGGAUAAAAUAGAAAUAUUUCAUAAAAUUGCUAAAAUUACCUAACCUCGUUUAAUUCCGUUUCUGACGCUCUCCUCUCCACCCUCUUUACUUAAUUGACCGCAGUAAUAAGAAAAAACAAAAAAAAAAAAAA
Long non-coding RNA from Glossina fuscipes, 930 nucleotides. RefSeq lists it as uncharacterized. NCBI's taxonomy places the organism in Eukaryota, Metazoa, Arthropoda, Insecta, Diptera, Glossinidae. The record is from RefSeq and is a predicted model, not a curated record. The transcript has 4 exons.